This 253-nucleotide ribosomal RNA is filed under the name uncultured bacterium. Its description in RNAcentral is "partial 16S ribosomal RNA". It matches the Rfam family "Bacterial small subunit ribosomal RNA", at positions 524 to 776 of the family's 1533-position model. The record is from RNAcentral.
UACGUAGGGACCAAGCGUUGUUCGGAUUUACUGGGCGUAAAGGGCGCGUAGGCGGCGUGUUAAGUCACUUGUGAAAUCUCUGAGCUUAACUCAGAACGGUCAAGUGAUACUGAUGUGCUAGAGUGCAGAAGGGGCAACCGGAAUUCUUGGUGUAGCGGUGAAAUGCGUAGAUAUCAAGAGGAACACCUGAGGUGAAGACGGGUUGCUGGUCCGGUUCUGACGCUGAGGCGCGAAAGCGUGGGGAGCAAACAGG